UGAUGUGGGAAGUGGUAAGAAAUGAAC
RNAcentral lists this non-coding RNA (27 nucleotides) under Cricetulus griseus (Chinese hamster). Lineage: Eukaryota; Metazoa; Chordata; Mammalia; Rodentia; Cricetidae. The record is from RNAcentral.